This 460-nucleotide ribosomal RNA is filed under the name uncultured bacterium. RNAcentral's name for it is "partial 16S ribosomal RNA". It matches the Rfam family "Bacterial small subunit ribosomal RNA", at positions 338 to 795 of the family's 1533-position model. The record is from RNAcentral.
CCUACGGGUGGCAGCAGUGAGGAAUAUUGGUCAAUGGCCGGAAGGCUGAACCAGCCAUGCCGCGUGAAGGUCAGUGCCCUAUGGGCGUUAAACUUCUUUUGUGCGGGAGCAAUAAUGGUCACGUGUGGCCAGACGAGAGUACCGUACGAAUAAGCAUCGGCUAACUCCGUGCCAGCAGCCGCGGUAAUACGGGGGAUGCAAGCGUUAUUCGGAUUUAUUGGGUUUAAAGGGUGCGUAGGCUGGGAGGUAAGUCAGCGGUGAAAUGCCCCCGCUCAACGGGGUGAAGUGCCAUUGAUACUGCCUGGCUGGAAUGCGGAUGCCGUGGGAGGAAGGUGUGGUGUAGCGGUGAAAUGCAUAGAGAUCACACAGAACACCGAUUGCGAAGGCAUCUCACGAAUCCGCGAUUGACGCUGAUGCACGAAAGUGUGGGUAUCAAACAGGAUUAGAUACCCGGGUAGUC